UAUUCCUGUACUUGGUGUUACUGCGAAGGGGGGACGGAGAAGGCUAUGUUAGCCGGGCGACGGUUGUCCCGGUUUAAGCAUGUAGGCUGGUUAUCCAGGCAAAUCCGGAUAAUCAAGGCUGAGGUGUAAUGACGAGGCACUACGGUGCUGAAGUAACAAAUGCCCUGCUUCCAGGAAAAGCCUCUAAGCAUCAGGUAACAUCAAAUCGUACCCCAAACCGACACAGGUGGUCAGGUAGAGAAUACCAAGGCGCUU
This 255-nucleotide ribosomal RNA is filed under the name Klebsiella quasipneumoniae subsp. similipneumoniae. RNAcentral's name for it is "partial 23S ribosomal RNA". It matches the Rfam family "Bacterial large subunit ribosomal RNA", at positions 1434 to 1691 of the family's 2925-position model. The record is from RNAcentral. Lineage: Bacteria; Pseudomonadati; Pseudomonadota; Gammaproteobacteria; Enterobacterales; Enterobacteriaceae.